Molecule: ribosomal RNA, 459 nt
Filed under: uncultured bacterium
Lineage: Bacteria
Description: partial 16S ribosomal RNA
Rfam family: Bacterial small subunit ribosomal RNA
Source: RNAcentral
CCUACGGGAGGCUGCAGUGAGGAAUAUUGGUCAAUGGGCGCGAGCCUGAACCAGCCAAGUCGCGUGAGGGAGUACUGCCCUAUGGGUUGUAAACCUCUUUUGUCGGGGAGCAAAAGCCGGACGUGUUCGGCUGUGAGAGUACCCGAAGGAAAAGCCACGGCUAACUCCGGUCCCGCCACCGACGUAAAACGGAGGAUGCGGGCGUUAUCCGGAGUUAUUGGGUUUAAAGGGAGCGUAGGUGGGUUGGUAAGGCAGGUGUGAAAGUUUGCGGCUCAACCGUAAAAUUGCAAUUGAUACUGGCAGUCUUGAGUACAGUUGAGGUAGGCGGAAUUCGUGGUGUAGCGGUGAAAUGCUUAGAUAUCACGAAGAACCCCGAUUGCGAAGGCAGCUUACUAAACUGCGACUGACAUUGAUGCUCGAAAGUGUGGGUAUCAAACAGGAUUAGAUACCCCUGUAGUC